This 253-nucleotide ribosomal RNA is filed under the name uncultured archaeon. RNAcentral describes it as "partial 16S ribosomal RNA". It matches the Rfam family "Archaeal small subunit ribosomal RNA", at positions 474 to 727 of the family's 1478-position model. The record is from RNAcentral.
UACCGGCGCCUCAAGUGGUAGUCGCUUUUAUUGGGCCUAAUGCAUCCGUAGCCUGUUCUAUAAGUUUCCGGUUAAAUCCAUACGCUCAACGUAUGGGCUGCCGGAAAUACUGCAGAACUAGGGAGUGGGAGAGGUAGACGGUACUCGAUAGGAAGAGGUAAAAUUCUUUGAUCUAUUGAUGACCACCUGUGGCGAAGGCGGUCUACCAGAACACGUUCGACGGUGAGGGAUGAAAGCUGGGGGAGCAAACCGG